GACGAACGCUGGCGGCGUGCUUAACACAUGCAAGUCGAGCGGAGCGGCGAACGGGUGAGUAACGCGUGAGUAACUGCCCCCCUCUCUGGGAUAACAGUUGGAAACGGCUGCUAAUACCGGAUAGUGGGGGAUGAUUGGCGUCCUAUCAGCUUGUUGGUGGUGUAGUGGCCUACCAAGGCGACGACGGGUAGCCGGCCUGAGAAGGCGACCGGCCACAAUGGGCUGAGAUAGGGCGCAAACUCAUACGGGCGGCAGUAGUGGGAAAUAUUGCACAAAGAGGGAACCACUUAUGCAGCAGCGCCGCGUGCGGUAUGACGGCCUUCGGGUUGUAAACCGCUUUCAGCCAAGACGCGGUAGUGGCAGAGGAAGCACCGGCUAACUACGUGCCAGCAGCCGCGGUAAUUC
This 405-nucleotide ribosomal RNA is filed under the name uncultured bacterium. RNAcentral's name for it is "partial 16S ribosomal RNA". It matches the Rfam family "Bacterial small subunit ribosomal RNA", at positions 28 to 526 of the family's 1533-position model. The record is from RNAcentral.